UUAAAUCCAAAAUAAGAAGUAAAUAUAUGAUAAUGGCUUACCGAUUAGGCAUGAAUUAUACACAAAUCAGCAGAUAUAUGAUAUAUCGAAAAUAUCAAAACGAUGAUUGUUGUGGAUGGUGGUUCUUAUACUACAAAGAUGAUAAGUUAAGAACAGAAGCGGGUGAUGUAGGUGUAUGAGGAAGGAGAGGCUGAUGCGGAAGGUAGAGUUUCAAGCGGAGAUAACAAGGAGGGUAAGGGAUGAUCGGAUGAAACUAAGAAUGUAGUAUCACUUUUUGUUCUAAUAAGAUUUUAUGCCAGAAAUUGUCAUGGGCCGUGG
This 318-nucleotide long non-coding RNA is filed under the name Daucus carota (carrot). RNAcentral describes it as "long non-coding RNA (DCAR_LNC005425)". The record is from RNAcentral. Lineage: Eukaryota; Viridiplantae; Streptophyta; Magnoliopsida; Apiales; Apiaceae.